UCAGCUUAGCUAUUCUUUUAAUUAUAUGCAUCAUAUAUCAUUUACCAUUUCUCCAUAUUGAGUGAAGCAAGGCAUCCACAUUAGUUUAUUCCUCCAAGCUGCCAGAGUAACGCUAAAUCAGAAAAGAGAUGGAUCUCCCUAAUCUGCCUAGGCUGGUCUCAAACUCCUGAGCUCAAGCGACCCUUCUGCCUCAACCUCCAAAAAUGUUGGGAUUACAGGUGUAAGCCACUGUACCUGGCUGGGAAAUAUAAUUUUUUGAAAACAUCUUCUUUCUGCCCAGAAAACCUCUGCAUGAAGAUAGUGGAGGAAAAAAACAGUUGUGUUAUUAAAUAAGCAUUAAACCAGAAUGUGAUACACAUCACAGGCAAUCCACUAAGAGACUGCAG
This 386-nucleotide long non-coding RNA is filed under the name Homo sapiens (human). Its description in RNAcentral is "HSALNT0294923". Lineage: Eukaryota; Metazoa; Chordata; Mammalia; Primates; Hominidae. The record is from RNAcentral.